This is a long non-coding RNA of Anguilla anguilla (European eel), 401 nucleotides long. RefSeq lists it as uncharacterized. The record is from RefSeq and is a predicted model, not a curated record. The transcript is spliced from 3 exons. NCBI's taxonomy places the organism in Eukaryota, Metazoa, Chordata, Actinopteri, Anguilliformes, Anguillidae.
GUUUGUUUGCCUUUCUGUAAGUAAAGUCUUUGUUAAUUUUCCCCCUUUUGAGUUUCGUGUUUUAUUUUCCACUCUGCGCCUGGGUCCCAGCACCCGUACCGUCACAGAUGCAGCUUUGUCACUGGAGUUUAUGCAAAGAAGUCUCCUGGGGAUCAAUCCUGGACGAGGGUCCAAAGCAGAGCAGAAAGGGAAAAAGGCGCACAAGAUUCAUCCUAAAUUGUUAAAGUUCCUCUCUGAACUAAGUGACUACCAAAAUCCAUGGAGAAUCUAAUUGAGUUCAUGCAGGAGUCUCCAGGUGUGUGUCUCUCACUACUGCAGUGCACCACAGUGGCCAAGGAGAGAUGACAAACUCCACGCUGUUCUACUGGAGCCAGUGCCACCAUGUGUGUGUGAGGUUAAGC